UCAAAUGAUUUGAGCCCUCACAUUCAGCACGAGAAAUCUAUGUUUUAGCUCAGCUCAUAUAACGGAUGGCUGUUCCGUGCCAGUCAUCAGACAUCAAUCCCAAGCUUGGCAAUCAUGGCGGCUUCUGUUAUUUUUGUCACCAUCCCACCAGUUGUAUCAUGAGCAGCUACCGUGAAUUCAACUGUCAAUCAAAGAUUCAGGAAUAUCAAGUUUCAGUACCGACCAUCUUCCAUCUUCACGUACAGCUGCAACAAGUAAACAUUGUUCCGAUAUGAUGCAGCUAGCUUACUGCAGGUGCUUUAUGGAAAAAAACAAUAUAUU
Solanum dulcamara is the source of this 321-nucleotide long non-coding RNA. RefSeq lists it as uncharacterized. The record is from RefSeq and is a predicted model, not a curated record. The transcript has 3 exons. Lineage: Eukaryota; Viridiplantae; Streptophyta; Magnoliopsida; Solanales; Solanaceae.